AUCAUUCCAGUAUUUUCUUGUUCUUGCCUUGUUGCCUUAUCAUCUCCACCUGCUGCAUCUCUUUGCUCAGUUAGACAGUGAUGGGGUCUUUGGGACAAGGACUAUCUUUUUGUUAGAUGUCUGUAGAGCUCACCAAAAUGGGCUGGGUUCUGCUAACACCAACAGCAUUCCUCUCACUGCUGCUGUCCAAGGAUGUAAAAGGAUCUGACAAGGAGUAAGCUUCAUCAGUUCUUCUGGGUAGGUCUCUCCAAAUAAAUAACUACCAGUAGUUGUUGAGUCAACCUCUCCUGGGCUAUAUGAGAAGACCUGUUCCACUCAUAAUGCAAGGCAAAAUGGAACUGGAGUGACACUUGAGAAUCAUCACCCAAGGGUGCAAGCCUUUUAUCAAAGCAGCAUUUCUGAUGACAGUCAGGGUGCAAGAGUGCUCGCUGCUGGAACACAAUGGCCAGCCACACAAAUAGCCCUCUUGUACCAGUGUGGGAGAACACAAUGCCAAACCCAAGCUCAAAUGACAGCAUUGCACCAAUGCACCCUGGCAGGAAUGGCUGCCAAUGGAAUUAAUCAGGGAGGAUUCUUCUUAUCCUAAUUUACCCCCCACCCUGCAUGAGCAUAUCAGGAAGAACUUCCUAUCACCUUCAGAGAAGAAGCAAGUCCCACCACAAGAAUAAAGACCUCACACACAGCAAGGAGAUAUUAGCCUUGAAACCUCCCUUCCCACAUCUUUUGCUGAAAGCUCCUUCUUUUUUUCUUCCAACUGUUUCUUGGCCUCCUCUUUAAGGGGGCAUGGAGGGGCCUGGAGUGAGGGUCCCCGUAGCAUUAGGAGCAGGCCCUGAGACAGCUGCAGUGAAAGGGAUGCUGCAAUUCUAAAUGCCCUGUGCGCUCUACAUAUUGUGGAAAAAGCUGUUGCAUUCAUCAAUGUCAGGCGCAGAGUUUGAAUAAAUUUGAAUGCACUCAA
Molecule: long non-coding RNA, 955 nt
Organism: Gavialis gangeticus (Gharial)
Lineage: Eukaryota; Metazoa; Chordata; Crocodylia; Gavialidae
Exons: 2
Source: RefSeq, a predicted model, not a curated record